RNAcentral lists this ribosomal RNA (453 nucleotides) under uncultured Erysipelotrichaceae bacterium. RNAcentral describes it as "bacterial SSU rRNA". It matches the Rfam family "Bacterial small subunit ribosomal RNA", at positions 341 to 792 of the family's 1533-position model. The record is from RNAcentral. Lineage: Bacteria; Bacillati; Bacillota; Erysipelotrichia; Erysipelotrichales; Erysipelotrichaceae.
ACGGGAGGCAGCAGUAGGGAAUUUUCGGCAAUGGGCGCAAGCCUGACCGAGCAACGCCGCGUGAGUGAAGACGGCCUUCGGGUUGUAAAGCUCUGUUGUAAGGGAAGAAUGGUAUAGAGAGAAUCUAUAUAUGACGGUACCUUACCAGAAAGCCACGGCUAACUACGUGCCAGCAGCCGCGGUAAUACGUAGGUGGCGAGCGUUAUCCGGAAUUACUGGGCGUAAAGGGUGCGCAGGCGGUCUUUUAAGUUUAAGGUGAAAGCGUGGGGCUCAACCCCAUACAGCCUUAAAUACUGGGAGACUAGAGUACUGGAGAGGGAAGUGGAAUUCCAUGUGUAGCGGUAAAAUGCGUAGAUAUAUGGAGGAACACCAGUGGCGAAGGCGGCUUCCUAGCCAGAGACUGACGCUCAUGCACGAAAGCGUGGGGAGCAAAUAGGAUUAGAUACCCUGGUA